RNAcentral lists this unclassified non-coding RNA (253 nucleotides) under Anaerolineaceae bacterium. RNAcentral's name for it is "partial 16S ribosomal RNA". It matches the Rfam family "Bacterial small subunit ribosomal RNA", at positions 524 to 776 of the family's 1533-position model. The record is from RNAcentral. Lineage: Bacteria; Bacillati; Chloroflexota; Anaerolineae; Anaerolineales; Anaerolineaceae. RNAcentral also lists the same sequence under 1 other name.
AACGUAGGGGUCGAGCGUUAUCCGGAAUUACUGGGCGUAAAGCGCGUGCAGGCGGCAGCACAAGUCGGACGUGAAAGCUCCUGGCUCAACUGGGAGAGGCCGUUCGAAACUGUGCAGCUAGAGGACGGUAGAGGCGAGUGGAAUUCCCGGUGUAGUGGUGAAAUGCGUAGAUAUCGGGAGGAACACCAGAGGCGAAGGCGGCUCGCUGGACCGUGACUGACGCUGAGACGCGAAAGCCAGGGGAGAGAACGGG